RNAcentral lists this ribosomal RNA (465 nucleotides) under Vreelandella stevensii. RNAcentral's name for it is "partial 16S ribosomal RNA". It matches the Rfam family "Bacterial small subunit ribosomal RNA", at positions 338 to 795 of the family's 1533-position model. Lineage: Bacteria; Pseudomonadati; Pseudomonadota; Gammaproteobacteria; Oceanospirillales; Halomonadaceae. The record is from RNAcentral.
CCUACGGGAGGCAGCAGUGGGGAAUAUUGGACAAUGGGGGCAACCCUGAUCCAGCCAUGCCGCGGGUGUGAAGAAGGCCCUCGGGUUGUAAAGCACUUUCAGUGAGGAAGAACGCCUGGUGGUUAAUACCCAUCAGGAAAGACAUCACUCACAGAAGAAGCACCGGCUAACUCCGUGCCAGCAGCCGCGGUAAUACGGAGGGUGCGAGCGUUAAUCGGAAUUACUGGGCGUACAGCGCGCGUAGGUGGCUUGAUAAGCCGGUUGUGAAAGCCCCGGGCUCAACCUGGGAACGGCAUCCGGAACUGUCAAGCUAGAGUGCAGGAGAGGAAGGUAGAAUUCACGGUGUAGCGGUGAAAUGCGUAGAGAUCGGGAGGAAUACCAGUGGCGAAGGCGGCCUUCUGGACUGACACUGACACUGAGGUGCGAAAGCGUGGGUAGCAAACAGGAUUAGAUACCCUAGUAGUC